AGCUCCAAGAGCGUAUAUUAAAGUUGUUGCGGUUAAAAAGCUCGUAGUUGGAUUCCUGUUUGAACGAUUUCUAUACAGAUUAAAUCUGUGUAGUUAUCAUUAGACUUUCUUAUUGAAUCUUUGAUUCAGUUAUUUUACUUUGAAAAAAUUAGAGUGUUUCACGCAGGCAGAUUGCCAGAAUAUUACAGCAUGGGAUAAUUGAAAAGGACGUUGGCUAGAAUUUGUUGUUUUUCCAGUCAUUGUAAUGAUAAACAGGGACAGUUGGGGUUGCUUGUAUUGGAUCGCUAGGGGUGAAAUCCUAUGAUUGAUUCAGGACAAACUGCUGCGAAAGCGUUCAACAAGGAUGUUUUCACUA
RNAcentral lists this ribosomal RNA (355 nucleotides) under Ptolemeba sp. RNAcentral describes it as "partial small subunit ribosomal RNA". It matches the Rfam family "Eukaryotic small subunit ribosomal RNA", at positions 587 to 975 of the family's 1831-position model. Lineage: Eukaryota; Tubulinea; Elardia; Euamoebida; Hartmannellidae. The record is from RNAcentral.